Molecule: long non-coding RNA, 40907 nt
Filed under: Glycine max (soybean)
Lineage: Eukaryota; Viridiplantae; Streptophyta; Magnoliopsida; Fabales; Fabaceae
Description: long non-coding RNA (GMAX_LNC000352)
Source: RNAcentral
CAACCACAACCACUAGUUUCUCCCGACAUGCACCUGCUCCUCAUUAUUGUCACAUUUUGUACCCACUACACUACCAACUCUAAGCCUAUGUUUGGUUUAAAGGAAAGGGGAAGGAAAGAAAGUCAGAGGAAGGAAAGAUGGUGGAAAGUGAAUCUUUCCACUGUUUGGAACAAUCUUAAAAAGUGAAGGAAAGAAAAUUUUAUGUGGACCCCACCCAAAAAUCCUUUCCGCGCUACUUUGGACGGAAAGCGGGAAGAGCGACCAAAAUUUUGGGCAAAAGGACAAUAAUGCCCUUCUCUUUCAUCAAAUUCUAUUUGUCUUUUUGAAUACCCUUCAAAUCAAAAUCCUUCAAAAAAAUUGCUUGCUCUGGUUCUUGUUUACCUUCCAAAAUCAAACUGGUCCAUUUCAUUUGUUCUACUUCCACAACCUUUCAGUUGCUUUGUAAGGUACCAUCCCUAUUCUUCCUUCUCAUAUGGGUUUCUUUGAUGCCAUUGAAUAAAAAUGUGUUGUUGUUGAUCUUGUGCUUUGUACGUGUUCUUUGUCUACUUGGCACACAUUAUGUUGCUUUUGCUUCCUUGUAAAUCAUUUGAAAAGCUUUCUAUUUUAUUUUAUUUUUUGAAAAAUUUAUGAAAUAUAAUGAAGUUUGUGUUGUUUGUGGGUUGUUGCUACUGAUUUUUAACUUUGUUGUGAUAAAGGAUGAUUGAAUAUUUUACACUUAUUCUCUAUCAAAAUUGGUUCAACUGUCUGGAGAUUUAUCUUUGAAGACUGGUUGUGUUAAGGGUAGUACUAGUAGGAGCUAACUUUUCUACAUCUAUGCUACUGUGUUAAGUGAUGCCAUUGAGGGGAAUGUUUUAAUAGGUUUGCUUUGUUUGCUACGGAUCUUAAAUUGGUGUUUAUGCUGGGUGAUUACUUGCUGUCUUGGCUUGGGUAGUUUUCUAGCAGGGUAUGGUAUAGGAGUAGUCUUGUUUCAUUUGGAGAAGAAAAGCCUUGUGAGUGGGAUGGCACUAGACAAGUGGUGUACUGUGUAUUUGUUUCAAGCAUGCCUUAUGCCCUCUUUAAUAUACUUUUCUUGGCCUUUUCCAAAAAAAAAAAAAAUUGGUCCAAUUGAUAGUUAGUCUUAAAAUGGUCAUUUUUUUAUUUUGAUUCUUCUAUUAUAUAUACUUUACUUAUUUGAAUGUGUAUUGAAAAAUAUAUCAAAACUCAUUGAUUUAUUAAAUGUAUAUUCAUUGAAGGUUAACAUUUAUACUCUGAUAUGGAGUUUUUAAUUAAUAAUGAAGACAAGUUUGGUGAUGCAUUGGAUGGUAUAAAGGAAGAGCAGUCCAAAAUAAAACAUUUAACUAAUCUUGGCAUGCAAAAUUUAAGUCAUUUUCGUCGAGGAUUCGAAAAACAACAGCGUCUUUGUUCUGUAGUCUUAUUGUGCUAUAUUGUUCAUGCGUUACAUAUGCUUCAAACAAUGUCACAUUUCAUUCGUAGUCCAAUUAGUCAUGGAAGUCAUGAAAGGGAGCGUAAACGUCUCGAUUUAAUGAGACAAUUAGUACAUACUGAAAAAUGCCGAGACAUAAUACGAAUGGGACCUGAGGCAUUUAUGUUAUUGUGUCAUAAAUUGAGGGGAACUGGUUAUGUGAAGGAUACUAUACGAUCCACAGUUGAAGAACAAGUUGCUAAGUUCCUACACAUCAUUGGUCAUAAUGUGAAAAAUCGCACCGUGUCAUUCUUCUUCCGCCGUUCUGGUGAGACUGUUAGCCGUCACUUUCACAAUGUUUUACGUGCCAUCAUUUCAUUAGAAGAUGAGUUCCUAGUCCAACCUUCUGGUAGGGAUGUACCUCCACAAAUAUUAAACAAUAGCAGAUUCUAUCCUUUUUUUAAGGUACUUAUGCCUUAAAUUCACUUUAAUAUGUUUAGCCUCACAAAUUCAUCCUACAAUUUCAUCACUAAUCAAAUUGCGUAUUUAAUUUAAUAAAAAGGAUUGCAUUGGAGCUAUAGAUGGAACACAUAUUCGGGUAAAGGUCCCAAGAGCGGAAGCCGCACGAUUUCGUGGAAGAAAAGACUACCCUACACAAAAUGUUUUGGCUGCGUGUAACUUUGAUAUGAAAUUCACUUAUGUUUUACCGGGGUGGGAAGGCACAGCAUCUGACUCUAGGAUUUUGAAAGAUGCUUUAAGUAGGGAAGACUCUCUAAAAAUUCCUGAAGGUUAGUAGUCUAUUAAUUUGAUUUGACUAUUAAGUAUCACAAUUUAGAAUUAUAAUAGUUAACACGUCAAAUAAUAAAUUAUAUCACAACUUUUGUAGGAAAAUAUUAUCUUGGGGAUGCCGGUUUUAUGCUAAAACGUGGGGUGCUUACACCUUAUAGAGGUGUUCGUUAUCACUUGAAGGAAUAUUCUAUUCGCAGCCCGCAAAAUUCUAAGGAGUUGUUCAAUCAUCGCCAUGCUUCACUUCGAAAUGUUAUUGAGAGAUGUUUUGGAGUACUAAAGAAAAGAUUUCCAAUUUUAUCUACUGGCACCGAACCCUUUUACUCAUUUGAAGUCAUGACAGACAUUGUACUUGCUUGUUGUAUAUUGCAUAACUUCUUAAUGGGUGUUGAUGUUGAUGAGACCUUAAUUGCUGAAGUAGAUCGUGAGUUACUUCAACAAGAGAUUGAUAGAUCCCAACCACAACAACAACGUGAUGAUGACUAUAGAUUGGGAACAAUUUUAAGGGACGAUGUUGCUAUCAGAAUGUGGAAUGUUUAUCCAAUAUGAUAACACUAUAUAAGUAAUAUGUAUUUCUAAUGUGUUGUUUUUUUUUUGUGUAAUGUGACUACAUGUGUAGAAUGUAGUACAAAACUUGUGUUCUAUUUGUGUAUGGUUUUGGGAAAUUACAUGAACAUGAUUAUGUUGUAGUAGAAUUAUCCAGUGGUAUGCAUUACUAAUAUUUCUUAGUUUACUCAUGUUAUUUUUGUGGAUGAAUUUCUCAUAAGCUAAUAUUCAUAUGAAAAUGGAUACAUCAACUUGUGUCCUUUUGAAAUUUAUAUGCAGCUACUACAAUGCCAAAGGGAAAAACCACUCCAUCAGAUUCUAAUCACCCUGGUAGAGAUAGCCUACAAUGGAAUGAUGAAAUGGAUCAAAUGUUGUUGAAUGCUUUGGGUGAAGAGGCAAAUAAGGGAAAUAGGCACGAUGGUGCUUGGACAACACAAGCAUACAACAACAUGGUCGAAGCCUUAAGAUCUACAAUUGGACCAAAUAUCACAAAGAAUCAUAUAAAGAAUAGAAUGAAGACACUAAAAAAUCAUUUUGCUGAAGCUUACGACUUGUUCCAUAGCUUAAGUGGAUUCUCUUGGAAUUCAAUAACUCGAAAAUUUGAUGCUGAGGACGACGUCUGGGAAGAGCUGAUUAAAGUAAUUAGCAUUCUUAUCCUUUAUUUGAUCACUUGACUUUUAUGUUAAUUAUAAGUACCAAAUUGAUCACUUGUCAUUUUUACCUUUUAUGUAGGGAAAGCCACAUGCUGCAAGAUGGAGAAAAAUGCAAAUUAAGCAUUAUGACAUCUUGACUGAGUUAUUUGCAACUGAUAGGGCAAAAGGAAAUGUUGCGAAAACAGCUAAGGAAAGGAGGAAACAAUGGGAGAAGGAGAAUAUUGACUUGAAUAACUAUUUUGAAGAUACAGAAAUGUAUGUGCCAAAUGUUGGUAUGUUUGAUGAAAACCAAUUUUCACCCCCCAACUUUGAGGAUGCUAGUCCACAAAAUGGUCAAACAAAUCCUAGUGGCUUAAAUACUUCAAGGGGUACAAAACGGAAGAGAAAUGUGGUUGAGUUAGUUGAAGAUCAAUAUGAGCGAAUGAAUGAAAGUAUCAUGACAAUUGCUGAAGCUUUGAAAGAGGGAAAUUCUGUUUCUAAGGAGCUGCACCAAGUUGCAGAGCGUCAAGUUGAAGUUGCUGAAAGACAAGUUGCAGUCAUUGAAAAACAAGUUGAAAUUGCUGAAAAACAAGUUACUGUGAUACAACAAACUCGUCCUCGUCAUUAUUCAGAAUCUGAUGUAUGGGAUCUUUUAGAGGAAUUAAGAGUCACAGAUCCAUUUCGCAUGAAGGUUUAUAACCAUUUAUGUGAUAAUGAGCACAAAAAACGUAAGCUUUUUGGCGUACCACCUCAUAUGAGAGGAGAAGCUCUCAUUCAAAUGAUGACUGAUGCAGGUAUAUUUUGUUAAGAGCAUUGGUAGUGCUCCUUUUUUGGUCCUAUAUAUUUAGGACAUCAUGUGAUGCCUUUACUAAUGACAGCCUAUAACGGAUUGCUUUUUUGGAGUGGUUGUGGAUAUGCUCUUUUGUUGGGAUUGUAUAUAUUUAAGGCAUCAUAUGAGACCUUAUUAAUUUAUGACUUAGUCUAUAUUAAUUAUCAUUUUGGGAUAUAUAUGACUUAAGAUGGAAAUUAUUAGUUUUUAUGACUGGAGAUGCAUGGUAACCUGUGACUUUUGUUGUUAUGCUACUUUUGAAUAUGCUUUGGAGUCUGCUAUCCCUUUUGGUACUAUAUUGAUGAUUUUGAUGAUGGAGCCUUAUACCAUCCUUCAGAGGUGUGCAUUCAAUAGAAACUGAAAGGUUUGAGUCAUCUCCCUUUGUUUACAAGUUUUUGUAUUAUACUAUAUUUACAUACACAAUGUUAUAUUUUAUUAUUACACUAAAUAAAUUUAUAGAUUUUUUCACACUUUGACACAAUAUGUUCUGCAGUCACAGUUUUUAUAUAUGCAUUUUUCAAAGGAUAAUAACAAUGAGCUAGUGGUACAGACCUUGAAUAUAUUUUAGAGUUCAUUAAUAAUCUAUACCUCAUAUUUAUGUCUUAUAGUAAUUUCAUAUUAGACUUUUUAUGCCUUGAAGCUACUGUGGAGAUUUUAUAUUGGCAAGGGGUCUAAGUGAAAGUGGCGUAGUCUUUUUUUACUGCAUAAUUUUCUGCAUAAACUCAAUUUGAUGCAGUUAGAUAUUUGAAAGAAAUUUGGUUGAGGCUUUGAAAGAAUAAAUUGAGAGUCUUGUUGAUUUAAAAACACUGAACUUUUAUGCUCAUGAUGUUUAAUCAUCUCAAUGUGUUAUAAUAGUAGUAACUAAUAUAUGGUUUGAAUGUAGGUGCUUUCACCUCUAGUGCAAUACAAGUAGAAGUGCAGCAAGCAACUGGAGCUAUAGUGCAAAGAUGUGUAUACUAAUAUUGUGUAACUAGACUGUCAUUUAUGUUUAAUUUGCACUAUAACAUGUAGUGUAAUUGGCCAAUAUAUGCAUCAUAAUACUCAAACUCAAUAUUUAUAUAUAAAUAGAAUGAUGUUGCUUUAGCACUAACUCAUCCAAGAUUUCAAUUUUAUCUAUGAGGAAUUGAACAACUGGUUCAAUUGAGGGGUACAUUGCUUGAGCAUUAUCUUUUUUUUUGAGAAGGCAAAAGAAAUAAUGUAUUAAAAUUAUGGUACCAGAGAGGUACCAACAAUUGAGUUACAAGAGACAUUACAACAUGGUUUAUCCCACCCAACUACUAGCACCACCUUGAUACAAAUACAAGGAAGCCAAGUACAAAUUUAUUAAAGAAUGAAAUGAGACACCUUUCCUAAAAAAACCAGAGCUGACAGGAAUGAAAGAAAAUUGAAAACACAGCUUGAACCACACCUUAUCAGAGCUAAAAAAAAUAAGAGAGCAUCUUUGAAUGUUAUUCUCAAACAAAAUAAUUCUUAUUAUUCACACUCUAGUGCACACCUGCUAUAAGAAAUUUGCAAAUUGCAGCAUAUCUAUGUUGAUAUCUAGCUGAACAAAUGAAAUUUUUGAGCAUUAUUAAUUUAACUUAAUAAAAAUUAAUGCUAUAAAAACUGCUAAUUUUAUUUUAUUGAAGAUAAGUUGACAUAUUUUAUCUUAAAGGAAUAAAAAAAAUAUAAUUUCAAUAUUAAGCUUGUGUCUGACUUUUAUUUUUUUUCUUUAUUAUUUAAAAUAUAUUUUAUUCUCUUCACCCUCUUUAAUAUUUAUAUAAGGUUAGUUUUGUCAUUUCACAAAUGUACCUCUUCCUUUCCUUAUCACUUUCCAUCCAAACAAACAGGAGAAAAGAAAGUUUUAACUUUCUUUCCUUCCACUUUCCCUUGUACCAAACAACUAAGACAAUCCUUCCACUUUCUACUAUCUUUCUUUCCUUUAACUUUCUUUCCUUCCACUUUCUUUCCUAGCACUUUCUUUUCCAAACCAAACAUAGUGUUACAAGGAAAAUAUUUUCUGUACAAUAAAACGAAGUAAUAAAAUAAUUCUCUUCUUUGAUUUUAAAAUACAAUUUAAAGACACAUGAUUAUUACAAAAUUAAAAUAAGUUAACAUAGAAAUAAUUGUAUCUAAUAUCACAUAUGAAAUUAUUUUUUUAAUAUUUAAAUAAUAAAAUUGCAUGAAAAUAAACAGUGUUUGUGUAUGAUUUUUUUUUUAAUAAAUCUAAUGGAUAUAACUUAGAUGCCGAUGCAUACUGAAUUUGUGAAAAAAAAACUUGUUUGAUCAAGGUGUAUUUAAAUAUAAGACAACUUAAACUCUUGCUUUAUUAGCCCCCAAAAGUUAUUUAACAAAUAUUUAUACAACUAUUAUGGUUAGUUAGUCAAGUAUAGUGGUAAUUAAUGCAUAUAUUUUCUUUGGUAAUUGGAUUUCAAAUUUUGCUGAAGAAAAAUCACUUGUUUUUAAAGUCCCUGAUUUUUAUAUUAUUUUAUUAGUUUUGAAAAGGUGUGAACUUAAAGUUGGUUUUAAGCUAAAUAUGUGUGAGUCAAUCUUGGAUUUGAUUUUCACAAACUUUAACUUUAAGACGAUAAAUUUUAAUUGUAAUUAAGUGCUAGAUUGAAUUUUAGUUUUAUAGUUGACUCAAAGGACCUAUUCUAAUAUAUCAAAAAUCUCACAUCACUUAAAAGUCAAAUCAAAUGGUAGUUUAUACUAGUAAAUACACCUUUAACUCAUAGAGUUAUCUUUUAAUAAAGAUAUAACAAUGACAAGUCAAAAUGUUACACUGAGCACCAAAAUGAACAAUAUCUUGGAAGUAGUGAUCUUAACAUGAGAAAGAUGGCCUAUGCCACUCUUGUUACUUAGUCUUGAUGGGUUUGCCAAAAGUCCUACAUCACUUAGGUGUCAAAACCAAUGAUAAUUUAUGUUCUUACUAGUUUUGACAAAAUCUAUUCACCGUGAUGUUUCUCUAUGUUCUCCUCCAUUGUACGGUAAAGACACUCUGUUACUCAAGUUAGCAGUGCAGAAGUAAGAACAUGUAUCUUAAAGUAGGUUGGAAUAAAGUUGGUUUACCUAAAUCUUGAAGAUUCCUUUUAUAAAUGUGAAAUUGAAUGAUAAGAUCUCAAUUUUCUUCAUAAGAUAAUGUAAAUAAGAAAAAUAUGAUUUUAUCUUUAUCUUUAUCUUUUUGGUAGAAGAUAAAGUUUUUCUCUUACCUUAAUUAUAUUAGUCAAAUUCUCUUAAUAUCAAGUAUAUAUACUACUUGGCUGACCACCAAGUACAAAAGGUUUAUAGCUUAUUAAUACACUAUCACAUGUUGAUCAACGUAACUAGAUUUAACCGUCAAUGUCCACAAUUGGAUGGGAGGACAAAAUUCAUGAUUUUUUUAAAAUAGAUGAAUUAAAGGUUUUAAUUUUAAAAUAAGAAGAUUAAAAUUAUAAAUUUGUACAAAUAUAAAGAGAUCAAAAUUAUAUUUUAAUCUAUUGUAUUAUAAGAAAAAUAUAAAAUAUAUAAUUAAUUAAGUUAUUAUUAUUUAUGCAAAAUUAUUAAUUCAAUUUUUUAUUUAUUUCCUUUUAAUAAUGUAACAUUAUUUUAUUUCUUGCAUACAUGAGGACACGGGGAUCCUAACUAAGUGGAUUAGUGUUAUUUGACAUUUGUAGCUCACUUUUUGAACCACUUGUUCACAAAAUAGAGUAGGCCAUAGUUAAGUGAAGGAACUCUAAUAAAAUAAUGUAUUUAACACAAAAGUAAUGUGAACUUGUAAUAUUCUUUAUAGAGUGCAGGGUUUGCUCAUAGUUUUCUUUUUAAUUUUAUGCUAAUUUUUCAAUAUGAUCGAGAGCUUAUACAUGCAUAUCUGCCUUACGUAUGAGAUAUUUGUUGCACUCAAUUAUAACUUAAAAUAAACUAUAUAAGUACCAGCUUGCUUAUUUUUCACUUUGUGUAUAAUUUAGCUAUCAUUAAAAAAAAAAAUGUUUCCUAAACAUGCUGUUUUAUUUUAUUUUAUUUAUUUUCACUGUUUAUUAACUUUGCAGACAACUUGGUGCGAUUGUAGUGCUCAUAAUGAUUGGCAUCUAGAAGAUCAAUCAUCCAUUCAGCUAUUAUUGUACACUCAUCUAUUACGGUACUUGUUAGUUGUUCACAAGAACACAGACAAAAAAAGCAAGACACUAAUUUUAUUUUUUUUUAUAAGAGACUACAUGUAUCGCAAAAUAAUUGAAUUGAAUUGAAUUAUCAUGGAUAUAAAAUUUUUCUUUUAGAUAAUUGAAAGUGUUAUUUAAAAUACUUUAAAUGACGAAAAAUAAAAUAAUUAUAUUUUUAAGGAAUAAAACUAAAACAAUUAUAGACUAAAAUAAAAAAAAUACUAAAUUAUAAGAACAAAAAAUAUAUUUAAGUUUUAUACUAUUUCAAACAAAACAUUAUUUAUGCUGCUUUUAUUGUCUUUUUAAGUGUCGACUUAUUUUUGAAAAAAAAAUAUUUAUCAUUUUAAAAGAUAAGAUAUUAACUAUAAUUUUUUCAAUUAUAUUUUUUAACCAGUUUUUAAUUAUUUCACACAUUUUUUGUGAAAUGAAAGGAAAUGUGAAAAAUAAUAAAAGACAAAAAUUUAAUUAAUAUCGAUUAAUCUACGUGUUUGCUGAUUCUAAUUAAGACCAAUUUGUAAAACUAAGAAAAAGAAAAAAAUUCAUCAUGCACGUUUUCAGUUCUUUUAUUUUUUUUAGAAUAAAAACGUAAUUUUAAAAUUUAAAUGAUCAAAUAUCACCUAAAUAAGUGAUAUUUGUCCUGUCUCCUACACUCUCUUGGAACCCAUAUGAUGCCGUUCAUUUUUAUGCAUUAAUUUUCAUGAGAAAGUUGGUUUUGAAAGGAUUGAUACUAUAUAAUUAGUCUGAGAGAAUUUGCUGGUGCGUUAUAGUGGGACAUGUGAAAUAUUAAUCAUUUAUUUUAAUUGCAUUAUGAUAAUGAUCAUACGAAUAAUAUAGCCAAAUUAGAUGUGUCUCUUGUCAUUUUACUGUUAAAGAUUUGGCUUUAUCCUUUUGGUCUCAGUCUUUUGCUCUUAUUCUUCACAUGAGAUGGUGAAAUUAAGUCAUUUCAUGACGACCCUUCUCCUACUCCACGUACUAUGUCUCUGGAAAUCAGGAACACCUUUGUCAGGUUUCGUUCAUUCAUGCAUGCAGAGGGAAAAAGAAGACAUAUUUUAUAAUAAAAGCAAGCAAGAAAGAAAAUACUAAAGGAUACAUGUUAAAGAAAAACUAAAAAGUAUUUAUUAUAUUAAUUAAAAAUAUAAAAUAUAUUAUUUAAUACCUUUUUAAAUUAAUUAAAAAUAUUCGGUAGAAUUGAUUAAAUAUUUGUUUAUCAACACAUUUAAAACACUUAUUAAAAAGAGAUGACUCCUUCGAAUCCUCAUCAAAAGUAGUUAGACAAAAAGGGAGUUGUGGAAUAAUAGUUGAUUUGAAUGAUGUGGAAACAUGUAAUUGUAGUAGUUAGGAAGAGAGUUUGAUGAGGUAUGAUUAAUGUAACACUUUUAGGGUUAUUUUAAUAAAUUAUUCUAGAAUUAUGUUAGAUUACUUUUCUUUUUAUUAAGUUGAUGAUACAAUAAGAGACUUGUUUUGUAGUAUCAAAAAUAUGGAAUCGGCAAUUAAUUUAAAAAUUGGUGACCUUUUAGUGUUACUUUGUAGAUUAUUCGUAAAUAAGAAAUGUAUAAAAAUAUGGAAAUAAAAUUUUUCUUGGACACUUAUUUGAAGUUCUUACAUUAUAAAUUUUAAAGGUAAUUUUUUUCAUAAAAAUGACAAAACAGAAAAUUAUAUUUUAAAAUUAUAUGAAAAAUCAGAAAAAAUCUUUUUCGAUUGGGUGUUGAGAAUAAAAAUAUACAAAACACUUUCUUCAAUUUACUUUUUAUCAUUAUUUAACAAUUAUAUAUUAAAAAAUAUUAUUUUUAUCUAAAAUUUUAAAAUUUAGAACUACUUUUUUUUUCUUAUUUAGUCCAUAAAUAAUAAAAUAUUUAGUUUUAUUCCUUAAAAGUAUCUUAAUAGGGACUAAAUGUCAUUUAUUUAGUUAAAUAAAAGAAUUGUGAAAAAUAUAAAAAAAAACAUUAAUUCUAAAAUUUGUAAUUUUUUCUAGUCAAAACAUAUUCAAAAUUUUAAAACUAUAAUAUUAAUAUUAUAUACUACGAGUAUUUAAUAAUAACGCACACCUACACCUAUGUAUUAAGAGCAUCCAUUACUUGAACUUUGACAUAGGUUCUUAGGUUACUUGUUUUGAUCUCACACUAUCAUAUACUUCAACUGUUGAUAAUUAUAAGAUAUUUAAAAAAAAUUAUUUGUUUCUUUUCAUAAGAAUUUUUUUUAAUUUCUAGACACGUAAAUUGUUUUUUUUUUCUUAUAUAUAUAUAUAUUCUUACUUAAUUAUUAUUUCUCCAAACAUUAAUAAAAAACAAGUGAAUAAAAAUAAAAUAAAAAAAUAUUUAAAUGAUAUUAUAAAUAAUUAAAAAAUUCAAUAUGAUAACUACUUAAACGAUACAAAUUAGUUAAAAAGUCCUAUAAUUAAAUACGGAAUGAGUAAAUUUUAAAAACUUUAUCGAUUGUUACUCCAACAAUAACUCACUAAAAUUUAUCAACUGUCUNNNNNNNNNNNNNNNNNNNNNNNNNNNNNNNNNNNNNNNNNNNNNNNNNNNNNNNNNNNNNNNNNNNNNNNNNNNNNNNNNNNNNNNNNNNNNNNNNNNNUGAUGACACCACUCAUAUGUCACGUUGUAUUGGAGCAAUAAUGUAUUGGAUAGGUUUGUCAUGAGAAUAGUAACAUGAAAUUUGUGAGUGUCAUAAACGCUUUUCAAAAUAAUCAUUGUCAUUUGUCUAUGUAGUCCUCCAACUAGAAAUCAAUACAAUUUCCAUGUCAGAAGUUAUGAGAUUUAAUUUCCAUUAAACGCCAUAUAUAAAAAGAUGACUAUAAUUAAAGUGGUUGUUGGACAUUAAACGAACCAUAUGUAAAUGAAUGUGCGUGAGUGACUUAGAUGGAAUUCAUCCCUUACAUAUAACUAGAGUGAUAUCUUUGAGACCUUUUGAUAGAGCAAGACAGUAAAAUAUGUGGUCGUCUUACAAUGUUACGAGAACUUAUAAGAUUAAACAGAAGAUUAAUUGGAACAAAAGAGAAAUUAGAUUCAUCAACAUGAUAUAAUAUGGUUGAUAAAUAACUUUAUCUUUUAAUUAUGUGGUUAAGAAUCUAUGAUUAUGAAAAAAUAUCAAUUAAGAAAUGUUAAUCCCUUAAUUAGAUUUUUGUUUCUCAAGAAAUUAGUCUUUAGCUCAAAGACCCAGAGAUAUCUAGGUUAAAAAAAAAAUAGAUUGGGCUCUAAUUUUCGUGGACCAGACUCAUAACGUAUGAGUCUAUAAGACUUAGCAUACCUCACUUAUUAGAAAGGAGUGUUAUUAUAAAUUGUCUGUGGGUAGUAAGGAGGGGAAGACACCCUACCAAUUAAAACCACGAGGGGGAAGUUAAAAGAAUAAGAAUCGGCCAAUGUAACACCUGGUUUGUUUGAUAAAAUAAAAUAAAAUAAAAUAAUUAAUUAAUUAAUCAAAAGAGGGUUUUUAUAAUUAAUAAAAGAAACUAAAAAAAUAGGAAUGAAAAUGAGGUCAUCAGAUUUUUCAUUAUAUAAAGGAAUUUUUAACCAAAGUAGUUUUACAAAACAUUUUUUACAUUUUCUGUUCUUUUUACUUUGACAUUCAAGAACUCUAGCAGAGCUAUCGAAGGAGGAGCUCUAGAGAGUACCAAAAACGUCACCAUUGUUAACAAAGAAUGCUUGAACGAUUACAUCAAGGUAAUGGAUGAGUUACUCACUCUUAAGAAUUAAAAUGAUCACGUGUAGAGAUCCCUAAAGGAUCAAUUUUUUGGAUUAUUUUGAGUUGUUUUAUGAAAUUCAAUUUUAUUCUUAUGCUUUUAAUCAUGAAUUUAUUAUGUUUGAUGGACCAACUGAUGUCCUGAUGCGAAAUUGAUGUGUGAAUCCUAGAAAUUGAGUCCUUUUCUAAUUCAAUUAUUUUUUCCUCUAUUGUAUAAUUUUUUUUAGAUGCUCGUAACAUUUUCUCCUUUUGCCAAUGAUAAAUUUGCCAAAUUGUAUUUUAUUGGUGGAAUAAUUAUGAAAAGUUGUGAUUAAUUUUUGUGAUGAUGGUACAGUGCAUGAAAUCAAGUUGUUUCUAAUUGUUGGAUUUCCAUGGCUUAGUUGGAAUGCAUUUAGGAUAUGCGUAUAAUGUUUUCCAUAUACACAAAUAUAUGUAUAUAAGUUUCUGAUUGUUAUUAUCUAUGUAUGAUAUGUACACACACCCACACACAUAUUUAUCUAAUAAUCUGUGUAAUCACACAACUAUAAGACUCUUUAAAGAAGACGAGUUCAUGCACGGUGAGUUUUGUGAUGGGCUCCACUGUGGGAACCUGACGAGUUCAAUCACUAGAGGCGCGAUGAGUUAAAAAGAUUUUGAAAAUAAUUGAGAUUUUGAAAAUAAUUCAGUAGUUGUGUGUAUUACAUAGUUCAUAGAUAAAGUAUAUGUGUUAAAAUGUUUUUUGGAUUGAAUCUGAAUCAGGAGGGAGAGGCCCUGACAGACUUCUCGAAGUCUAGGCCUUGGGGGUAAAUACACUUAGUUUGACUACUCCUUUAAGUCUGUGUCAAUCCCACAUGAUUGGAGUAUUCUCGCAAAAUAAAGUGACCCUGACUGGUCUCCCUGUGAUUUCACCUAGUGAGAGUGACCUAACUGACUCAUUGUGAGACAUGUCUUGUCAUGUACUCCUAGGCGCCAAACAAGGUUUUUCACUGAAAAUGGUAUCACAUUGCAUGUAGGCUUGAGUCUAGUGUAUCUGUUGCAUAACACUUGUGUUUGAUUUUCAUUAAGCUAACGAUUCAGGUUUUGGUGUUAUUUUCUGGAGUGUGUGAACUUGAAUAAGUGUGAAUAAUGUGUGUGAUUUUGUGAAGUAAUGUUGUUUAUGUAAAUUUAGCUCUAAGUAUUAUAUGUUUCACAUGCUCUAGUGUUUUAUUAUAUACGAAUGUGAUAACUCAUUCUCGAUGUGUGUUUAUGUUUGGGCUGAAUGUCAUUUUGUUUCACGUGAGCCAACAUAUGAUGAGUUUUAUGCUGAAGAUGAAGAGACUUAACCUUUGCCAGGGAAAUAUUUUGAUAAAUGUGACAUUAUGGCAUGUGAUUUUUAUUUCAUAUGUUACAAUUCUAUGAAUAGUAUAGUUGUUUUAUAUUUUCCGCUAUUAGUUUGACUUCUUCUCAUUCAGAAUGGACAACCUUGUUUUGAAUCGAGAUAAUUUUAUUAUUUAUUUGGACAAGUUCUAUUAUGAUGUUAGAAAAGUAAAUGUGAAUCUUUUACCUUUUUGAAAUUCUUUUAUUUAAAUAUAUUUUAAAACUUUUAAUUAAUUUUGUAUUUUUAUUUAUUUUAUUAUUAGUACAUAUAUGUAUGAGGUAAAGGAUGUCACCGCACACCAAAAGCAUUGAAAUGAAAGGGAAUGAAAUCAGGUAUAAAAACUUACUAAUAGCGCCACUUAAGGUUUUGUAAAAAUCUAUCUAUAGAUACUACUAAAAGAAUAGGCGGUCAAAAUGACCAAAAUAGUCAUUAUUUUUUGUUGACAUGUGUUAUUUUUUUGGUUUUUUUGUCUUUUCAGUUACACUAUGUCGACACCCAAACAAAAACGCAAAAACAGUGAGAAGAUUAAAAUGAAAGCCAAAGCGAAGAAUGAGGAAUACUGACAUAACACGUUCUUUCUGCUUCCCAGUUUUUCAAUAAAAAAAAUUCAUAUUGCAGGAACAAAAAAUUUGAUCAAUUUUAUAUAAUUUAACUUCAUUUUAACAUAUAAUUUAUUUUUUAAAAUAUAAAUAAUAUUAUAUAUUUUUGAAAAUAUAUAGUAUUUAAUAUAUAAUAUUUAAUUUUUAGGCUGCAUAAGUCCCAUGUUAUUUUAUUGUUAAUUUUUCUUUCAUUUACACUCUUUUUUCAGUAAAGAAACACACCCUUAAUGCAGUAGUAUGUUUGUUUGUUUUAGUAUAAAUAUUUUCUUUUCCUAUAUAUUUUAGUAGUAGGGAAUUUUUUAAAAUUUGAUAAUUAUUUUUUUAUUACUUCAAAAAAUAAUUUGUUUUUAUUAGUCCUACAGUUUUUUUACAAGUUAUUUUUAGUUUCUCUUAUUCUUUGUGUUAAUGAUAUCACAAUUUAUUUGAAGUGAUUUCUCAUUGUUAAAAAUGUUUUUUAUAAUUUAAUAUAUAUAUAUAUAUAUAUAUAUAUAUAUAUAUAUAUAUAUAUAUAUAUAUAUAAUAUAAAAGAGUGUUAAUUGUUAUUCAUGAGCUUUAUUUGCAUUAAAAAUAGGAGAAAAAGUAGCAAUGUACCUCUAAUUUAUGGUUUCUUUUGUGAAAUUUGUAAAUAAUUUAUUCUUGUGUGAAUUUAUACAGGGAAACUCCAUUUUUUGACUAAUGUUGAAUUUAAUUGGGUUUUUAGGCUAAAGAAGAGAAGAAGUUGAAAUGUUGUUGAAGGGCUCGCUCAGCGAGUCAAAUUGGCUAAGCGAGGCUUAUCCGCUUAGUAAGGAAGUCAGCUCGCUAAGUGAACACAAAACCCUAGAGGAUGUUAAGCUAGAGAGUAGCACGCUUAGUGCGCAGCCAGUCCGUCCAACGAGGAUGUUAUCUCUUUUCGCGCUUAGUGUGUCUAAGCUCGCUUAGCGUACAAUCACUUACUCUCGCUCAGCGAGACAUGCUCGCUGAGCGCACCUUUGUAUGCUGAGAAGCCUAAAAACCUUUAAAAACACUCAGAAGAGAGGAAGUUAGGGGGACAAACUACAUGAGACAAAAGGAAGACGACACCAAAGCUAAAGAGAAGACUUUUGCUUCAUACUUUCAUCAUUUUCUUUCAUUCAAACGUUGUUUCCCCCUUGUAUUGAGCCCUCCUUGCUAAUGUAGGGCUAGAAACUUCAUUGUUGGGGGAGUUUUUCUACUGAGCACUCUUAAUGUAAAACUUCUAACUAUCUAUUGAAUAUUAUUUCUAGUGUUCUUUGUUUCUAUCUAUGUUUAUUUUACGUACUUAUAACUUGAUCAUUCAUUUGUAUGCUUGGUUAGGUUUUGAAUGUUGGAAAAUGCUUAGAAUCCUUAGAACUUGGUAGAGCAGCUAGAGGUCUGUAUAUCUAGGAAUAGAGUGCAGUAAUCUAGUAUAUUUUUCAUCUUGUGCGUAGUUCAGCUCCCUUAGAAUGAGUUUGUUGAGGAAUCAAGAACAAAAACUAAGAGAGUUAGACUCUUUUAUGUGAAGAAUCAUGGCUUGAGUAAAUCAACGGUGCAAGAACGUUAGAGUAAUGUUAAAUAGAUAAAAACCUAUUAGUACGACAAGAGGAAGUUCAGUAGAAUACUCCCCAACGCUUUUAUUUUGAUAUUCAUUUCGUUCUACGUCUUUGUGUUCAUUUUGUUAUUUGUUUAAGUUUAGCAGAAUUUAUUAAAGACAAUCAAACCAUGAAUGAGUUUCUCUAUUUUUAUUAACGAAGUUGAAAAUGUUUACAUAAUGAAUAUACAACAUCUAAGUAAAACAAAUUUCAUGUGGACACGAUACUUGGACUUACCGUUUUAAAUACUACUUGUGCAAAUUGAUAUACUUGCCAGUAAGUGAACAAAGAGUAGACUAGCAAAAACAUCAGUUUAAAAGAGUAUAUAAAUAUAUAAAAGAGGAUAGUAUGUUGAGACUUUCUAAUACCACGGAUAUAUAAAUUCUGUGUGUUAAUAGUAUCACAAUUUAUUUGAAGUGAUUUCUCACAAUUAAAAAUAUUUUUUAUAAUUUAAUAUAUAUGUUAAAUAUAUAAAAUAGUAGGCUAGCAAAACACCAGUUUAAAAGAGUGUAUAAAUAUAUAAAAGAAAAUAGUUUGCUGAGACCUUCUAAUACUUCUAAUAUCAUGGGAUGAUCUCCUUGAAUAUAAAUACAUCAGUCUUAGUAGUAUAAGAGAUUUUAUAUGAAAGUUAAUCAAUCAUAUUUUUUUUUUCAAUUUAACUUAUAACCUUCAAAAAAUAAUUUGUUUUUAUUAGUCCUACAAAGUUUUUAAAAGUUAUUUUUAGUUUCUCUUAUUGUUUGUAUUAAUGGUAUCAUAAUUUAUUUGAAAUGAUUUCUCAUCAUUAAAAAUACUUUUUAUAAUUUAGUCUAUAUAGUAAAUAUAUAAAAAAGUAGGUGAGCAAAAAUACCAGUUUAAAAGAAUAUAUAGAUAUAUAAAAAAAUAUAAUUUGUUGAGACUUUCUAUUAGUAGUAUAAGAAAUUUUAUAUGAAAGUUAAUUCAAAAGUUUGAUUUCUGUAAAAGUUUUCGUAUCAUUAAUCAAUCAUAAUUUUUUUUUUCAGUAUAACUUAUAAAAUAAAUAUUAUAAAAUUAAUAAAUUUAUCAUAUAUGAUAAUUUUAUGAUUAAAUAACAAUAUAAUUUAUGCACAUAUUAUUCAUUUAUUAAAUUAUAGUUGGAGAGGAUAAAAUUAUUAAAGUUUAUAAGCCAUUUUCAUUUAUUUUUUAAUAAAUAAAUUGUUGGUCCAAUUAUAUGACUCUAGUUAUCCUAUAUUGUUGCUUAAACAUGGGAGAAAUGAGAAUUUUGGAAAUCGAAAAGAGAAAGAGAACAGCAUGGUAAAUACAUGGGACAGGACGCACUGCAUACUCGUAGUAAUAUAAAUGGAGAUGUCUAUUUUUUUUAGUAAUGGAUAGGAUCAAACUCCUUUUAUUCACCAAAAAAUAAUUUGGAAAAAAAAUUAUAAGUGACUUUUUAUACUUUUUAGCAUGUUUUACUUUUUAAUCUAAGGACAAUUUCACUAUUAAAACAAAAAAAAAUUAAGUAAAAAGCAGUGAUCUAUGCAUAUAGACGGAUAUAUGACUGGUUAAUAUAGAAAAAGAUAGUCAUACACUACAUAUCAUGUCACAGUGUACUUAUUUUGACACGUGCUCCAGUAUAUAUUCAUAAAAAAAAAAAAAAAAGAUACAUAAUAUAACAAUUAGUUAGAAUAACAAAACCAAACAUUAAAGAACAGAAAUAGGUUGAAAAUUAAAUUAUAGAAAACAAUCACUCCCAUAUGCACCGAAUUUGAUGUGUGUGCCUGUAAUCACAAGUUAGCACCAAUUUUCUAUCCAUUCUCUUCAAUACAAAACUUUCCACCAAUGCAUAACAACUAAAUUUCCUCCACCUGUUUGUUCCUCCAAACUCCUCAACUCUUUCCACUCUCACUUGCCUUUGAUUCCCAGCAAUCCAUCCAACUCUUUCUUGCUCCCAUCUCAUUCUAUCAACAAUUUUCAAACUCAGCCCAACACUUGUAAUUUCCAACCCCUCAUCGUCAAAACUCUUAAACCACACCACCCUCUCACCAUUCUCAUUCCAAACAGCUUCCCUUCCUGCAAUCUUUGCAACUUCUGUUUGAACAACAACAUCCACAAACACAGCCAGAUUUUCUCCAUCAUUAUUUUCCUUUGAAAAUAUCUUCUCCCAUCUUUGCUUAAGUGUCAACUCAUAGAACACUGUCUUUUUCAUCUGCUCCUUCAAUUUCAUUAAUCUUUCCUUAACAAACAUAAAAGGGCAGUACCACUUUCCAACAUCCACUGAUUCAGACCUAUCAUUGGACAGUGGGAAUACGUUGAAAUCAGGAAGCUUGGCACGCAAGGAAUCAUCAGAGCCUAAAGCUUCACCUAAAUGAUAAUCUGUGGGAGUAUGAGCAUAAACACGCCACCCUUUUCUUCUCAACAGACCAGGAAGAAUUCCAUCUGGGGCAACGGAUUUUGCUUUGAAAUCAUUAUUCACCCUCUUGAUGAUUUCAACCUGCUGAUAAUCGUCAGAGGGAUCCAAAGGUCUUGGUUUAACAUCUUGGACAAAGCUACAACAUAAAAACGUCUCCAUGUCCUCUUCUUUUGAACUUGUGCUAGCUUGACUGAAAUCAAUUCAAGUUUCAAAAAUAUUAAUGUUUGGACUAAAGUAGUAAUUAUAUUGCAUGUUUUGAUAAACCUCAAUAAACAUUUACAGGGAAGAAAAGUACAAAGGUAUUGGGCUUCUUAAGCAAAAAUCAAUUCAUGUAUGUACCUUAAAUUUUGGAGAAGUUAAAUGAAAAUCUAUAAAAGUUAAGAAUCAAUCGAUUUUACUUGUCAAAAUAUUUAAUGUAUUUUAUAUCAAUUUAUAUGUCUUAUAUUCUUCUCCUAUAAAUACUUAUCGAUAAGUUUAUAUAUAAACAUGUGUAACAUUAUCUCUUCCACAAAUUAUGUAUAAACUGAACAAAAUGUGAAAAAAACAUGUGAUGCCUUCUUGUGUACUAAUGUGUGUUUGGUUAGCUUAUGUUAAAAAUAUGAUUGCUUAUUUAUAUAAGCUUCUCGAGAGAGCUUAAAAUAAAAGUAUUAAGUUUAAUUGAUCAUAAAGAAAAGUGAUUAUAAUUCAUACUAUACCCUUUAUGCUUCCCCUUCCUUUUUAUCACAUAGUAGCGGUUCGAAGACAAGGGUUGAUUCAAUACUGGAACAAACAAGUCUUCUUCACCAUCGCUUCCAUAGUUGAUUGAUAAGUUUUUGUUCUGAGGAAAAGGAAGAUCCCUUAUAGCUCUGUCCUUGAACAAACCAAAGAAAGAGUAAGCCUGGGCUUCUUUAUCAAGGAUUACAAGGUAACCUGAAUUUGGCCCUAGUGGAGGGUCUGAAACAGCACUAGGGUUCCUUUUGUACAUAGAAAGGGGUCUUGUCACAUACAUUGUCUAACCUUAACAAUUAAUCUUCGAUUGUUUUUGUUUCACAUAUAUAUAUGCACGCAUUCCAGGGAAAUAUAAAAUACUUUGUCUUCUUAUCCAUAUGUAAUGUAUGUGUUUAUCAGUUGAUAUUGACAAAAGGGUCAAUUUCACACAUUGUUUUUCGGUAUAUUCUUAUUAGGGUAUAUAUGAUACACGCUCCUUGGUUCUUUGGAAAAAUCAAUCUCAUGGUAUAAUUCUCUUGUCUAUAUUGACUUGGUUGGUCCAUUCUAUAUUUCAAUGAUGAUUUUUUUUAAUCAGUCAAAUUAAAUUCAUUAAUGAAGGACACAAAUCACACCGAUAAUUUCAAGAAAUUACAAAGGGAAUUACUCAACUGUCCAUAUGUUGGUUACUCAAUAUUAAAAGAUAAUCAAUCAAAUAAUUAAGCUUUGACAGAAAUAAUUCUUAAUUAAUAAAAUAUUACUUGUUAUUUUUGGAUUAGUGAAGACAUCUUCUCCUUAUGAAUAAAAGGGUUAAGACAAAAAAAAAAUACUAAAAAGCAGUCAAUCUUUUAAUAUGCUGUGACUCACGUGCACAUGCAGUAUCAUAACACUAAUAACUGCACAAGUAUAUCCCCUCCCAAAAUCACGCUAAUCUCUACGUACGUGCAUAUAUUAACAAACAAUUCAGUUUCCCUCUUAAUUAGAGACAAUUGAUAUAUACAAGCUUCAGGAUUGAUUACCCACUAUGAGAAAGAGUAGCAGAAUCCCUCGAUUUAUAAUUUAUAUAAGAUAACUUUGGCGAAUCUAUCAAUUUAUAAUUUAUAUAAAAAUCCUUUAUUGAUUUAUAAUCUAUGAAUCCUGAAGUAGGAACUGAGGCUUUGGGAUUUGAUCUCACACACAAAAGCUACAUGUAUUUGUAUAUUUUAUUUUUCAUGGCGCAUUACCAUGUCUAUUAAGAGCUUUAUUGAUGGACCUGACAGCCUUGACCGAUUUUAUAUGUUUUUUACAAGAACAAAUGAUCAAUUUAUUGGUAAUGGACCAGGCUAGCUGUUUUUUGAUGUAGAGACACAAACAUAAUUUUUUUUUCCUAGAACACAAUUUCCUCUUUAAAUAAAUCAUUCUCACUCAUAUGAACGCAAUAAAAUUUUACAUCACUGUGUCAAUCCUUUGGGUUAAAAACAAACAUUUGAGGAAGUAUCAAUUACUUAGGAGAUUCACUCAUUACCCUCAAUCCCUCACUAAUAUUUAUUUUCAUAAGAUCUAAUUAUAACUAAUAACUAAUUUUAAUCAUUAGAUUUCAAGAAAAUAAAUCAUCAAUUCUCAACUUUUUUUUCUUUCAAAUUCGACUGCUUUAGUCUCAAUCUUCUUGUCUUAUUUUUGUCUUUCUAAUUUAUAAAUACUUCAGUUUUUGUCCUUAAGGUCCAAGUCAUUGACCCUCUUUUCUUUUUCUUUGGGAAAGCCUUCAUCUCUAAUGUUAUCACAAUUAAGCGUGUUGAAGGCCUUUGAACUCAUAUGGGUCUUAAGGUCAAUUACCACAAAAGCUUUAUUGGAGCUAUUGGGGUUAAACUAAUGUCUUGGAAAGGUUCGCCACUAUCAUGAAUUGCAAUCUUAAUAUUACUAAACUACCAUUUGUGUAUCUUGACAUUCCCAUUGAUGUCAAUCUUAGAAGGAAAAAUACUUGGAAGUCGGUUGUUGAUAAAGUGACUAGAAGAUUGAGCUAAAGGAAACAUUGAUCCUUAUCCAUGGCGAGUAGAAUUUGCUUAAUUAAUUUGACAAUCUCUUCCCUCCCUCUCCUUUAUAUUUCUUUCUUUAAGAUGCCCUUGGGCGUGGGGAAGAAAAUUGAGAGACCCCGAAACUUCUUUGGGGGUUAAUAAGAGCUCAAAUUCUCAUAUUUUAUGAUGGUGAUGAGUGUAGAGUGUUUUUUUUUUAAAGACACAAACAAUUCAUAUAUAAAAGAACAAUAGACAACCACAAGUAGUGGCAAUCCCAAGCAAGAGUUACAGAAAAUAAUAACAAAGUUGGGUGACAACACCCCAAUAAAACCCCCUAUUUACAAAAACAAGACAAUGAAGCAAAACAAGAAGACACGACACCCAAAAACCACUCCCACGGAUUCCUAUUUAGCAUAGCCAAUGAACUUGAGCCUUCCCAAAAUGAAUGCUAUCGAUAACAUAAUACUGAUGACUCAAAUAAAGUAUCUAGUGUGACACCCUCUACUCCAUACAUAUAUGUAUUAAUAAUAAAAGAAAUAAAAAUUCAAAUAUUAAUUAAAAGUAUUUAAAACAUUUUUUUAAAUAUAAGUCUUUCAAAAGGGUAAAAGGCUCACAUUCACCUUUCUAAUAUCAUAAUAAAAUUUGUCUAAAUAAAUAAUAAAUUCACUUUGUCUCAAAACAAGACCGUCCAAAACUUUAUACAAUUAAUAUAAAACAUAUACCCUAAUGUCAUAUCCUAUCAGAGCAUUGUGUUCCCGUGUCCUCUAGUAUGAGAUUCUUCAUAGUCAUCCACCUAUUCAUCUGCUCCCACGAAUAUAAGGUUCGAGAUCAUCAUAGGAUUCAAACACAAAUAGCACACUGGGAGUGAGUUAUCAUAUUCCUAACUAAUGAAGAGUAACGAUACAACAUGUAGGUAUAAAUAUCAUAAAAACAAAAUAAAACUUACUUAAACAUAGCUUACAUCAUUUCACCACUUUGUCAUCCAACAUCAUAUCAUCACACAACACAUUUCAUUCAUUUUCACAACAUUCACGUACUCAAAGAUCAAAACACAAUGUCAUCAAGUCAAUCAAUAUCGAUCAAUAUACAAGUGUUAUGCAACAUAUACACUAAGACUCAAUCCUAUAUGGAAUGUGGUACUAUGUCAGUGAAAAAUCACGUCGAGCGCCUAGGAGUACAUGACAAGACAAACCACACACUAGCAAGUUAGGUCACUCUCACUAGGUAAGAUCAUAGGGAGACCAAUCAGGGUCACGGUGUUUUGCGAGAAUGCUUCAACCAUAUGGGAUCAACAUAGGCUUAAAAGAGCACUCAAACCGGGUGACCCCCAAGGCCUAUACUCCAAAGAGUCCGUCAGGGCCUCUCCCUCCUGAUUCAGGUUCAACCUAGAAAACAUUUUAGCACACAGACUCUAUCUAUGAACUAUACAAAACACACGACUUCUCAAUUGUUCUCAAAUAGUUUAUCUCGUUGCCCUUAAGGGUCUUAGCAUUAACUCGUCGUCCUUAAAGGGACUUAGUAUUAACUUGUCGCCCUUAAAGGGACUUAGCAUUAACUCGUCGCCCUUAAAGGGAUUUAGCAUUAACUCGUCGCCCUUAAAGGGAGUUAGCAUUAACUCGUCGCCCUUAAAGGGAGUUAGCAUUAACUCGUCGCCCUUAAAUGGACUUAUAGUCGUGUGAUUGUACAAUUCAUAGUUCACAACUCAAUGCACACAACAUCUCAAUCACAUACAUACAUAAUUUAUCACAUACACUCGAUCUCAAUCACAAUGGUAUAAUCUCAAUUAACAUGUUAUCACACCUCAUGAAUCAUAUAUACUUUACCUAUGAACUAUGCAAUACACAUAACUACUCAAUUGUUUUCAAAAUCAUUUUAAAUUGUCGGGUUCCCACAGUGAAUCCCAUCACAAUACUCGUCGCCUUAAAGGGUCUUACAAUUGUGUGAUUGCACAGUUCAUAGCUCACAGUUCGAUACACACAUCUCAAUACACAUCUAUUUCACCAUUAAUCACAGGUUCAAAUUAUCACAUACUCAAAUUUGAAUCACCAUUUCAUAAUCUCAAUAUAACAAUUUAUACAAAAAGUUUAUCACAACAUAGGGAGUAAAACCCCUCAAAUAAUUUCACACAAUUAUACCAAAAUUAAUUAAUCAAAAUCAUAGAUAUAAAAAAAUAAAAACACCAAGAUCACUCUAUUUUAUCAACCAAUUUUUAUCAGGACAUCAAUAAUGUAUUUAUAAUAAUAAAGGGAAAAUUAUAAUUUAAUAAACAUCCCAAAAUAAACUCAAUUUAGUUUUCUAAGGAUCCCUACACUUGUUCAUUCUAACCCCAAUUGCGAUAAACUCAUCCUUUACCUCUAAGCGGGCUCACGUGUCUUCCAACAGCAAUAGAGGCAUCUCUAGCAAGUUCCUGAGAUUCUUUAAUUUUUUUCUCUGAUUGCUUUGAUAGGAUUCCUAAACGUCAAAGAGAAAAAGAGAUCGAAGCCUCCAUUUUUUACUGUCUUCAUGCGAUUCUGUUUUCUCUCUCCAUGGAUAUUAUUUCCCAAAUCCCAACGGUAAAGUUGUACCAAAUUGAAUCAUGAACCAAAUAUUAAAAGUUUAAGACAAUCCAGCGGUUAAAAAAUCCGGGUUCGUAGUUUUACCGAGACAGUUUUGGGUUUUUGCGGGAAAAGAAAAAGGCUAUGAUGCGAAAUGUAUUUCUCUCAGUUCCAACAUGAUUUCAAAUUCUCAAUGGUGAAAAGGCUCAAACCUGGUGCUUAAAUUUCACAACAAUCCAACGGUGAAUGAGUUUGAGAUUGUCUUUUUUUAAGAUAGGUUUGGUGGUCGGUGACAAAAAGAAAGAAUUUUGGAAAGAGAAGAGAGAAAAAUGAAAAUGAGGGAAAGAGGAGACAUAAUAUAUGACUAUUUAUACCUAAAUACUCAUAACUUAUUAUUUACUCUAUUUAUUUAUUUUUAUUAUUUUAUAUAAAGAAAUUCUAUUUUAUUUUCUAUCAAAUGAAUAAAUCAAAUAUAUAUAUAUAUAUAUAUAUAUAUACAAACAACAAACAAUUAUUUUCAAAGUAUUAUUUCAUUACAAUUAUUAUUUUUAUUUAUUUAAUUAUAAAAAUCUCACUAUUCUCUCUUAAACUUUAUUUAUUUAUUUAUACUAAAAAAUCUUUUUAAUUUACUUUAAAAAAAUGGAUUGUUACAAUCUAGGUCCAAAGAUACUCAUUGUAUUCAAAGUUAAACUAAGCUUUAGCUUCAAAGAUCCCGUCACACGACCUCGAGUCCUUUGGAUAACAAUCAGACAAUGCAAAACCACCCUCCAGAAACAUGAACACCACACCCCAAACACCAGAAACCCUUCCGAACUGCAAAAAUUAGAUGGAAUAAGACCUACUCCAGACUCAAUAUCCUGCUAUACUACACAUCAUAGGAUCAUCAAACCAACAUGCCAAAGAAUACGUACUACCGCCUCUAUUAUUUAUCCAUUGCCAAGACAUAAUCUUCACCAAAUCAAGAUCUCCUCUACCUCUUGAUCCUUUCCUUGAAAAAUGUGUCAAAUUAAUUUGUUAUAAUAAAAUUCAUCAAAAAUUAAAAAUUUAAGAAUAAAAAGUGUAAUUAAACCUACAAAAAGACAUCAAACAAGGGUGUAAACUCCUCAUCAGACAGACAUUUUAUUUGGAGUAUGGGGAUUUCAUAAUGGACUAAUUAAAUUAUUGAACAUAAGUGAUUGAUAUGUUAAAAUUAAGAUUAAAUCUUUAAGAUAUUAUUGAGUUUGAUGUUUAACAGUAAAAAUUAUUAAUCAGAUUUUAUUUAUCUUUCCUUGAAUUUCGAAUUAAUUAAGAUUAUUUUAAAAAAAUAAUAAUAAAAGGGACCAAACUUUGGGAAGUAAAACUGGUAUAGCUCCCGAGAAGAUAGUCAUUAUGGACAAAAAAAGUGUUCAUAAAUGGGCCCAUAAUGGCUUAGGUUCAAUGAUUCUGUUCUGUCCCAAACCACGGUGUUCUGUCAUCUCUGUUCUCUCUCUCACCAACGAACAAACCAAAUCCAACAAGACAACUCAAACAAACCAUUUUCAUUUCCCUCACUCUCUCUUUGCUUUCCCAAUCUCAUCUCAUCUCUCUCUCUCUCUCUCUGACCCAUCAUUCAAAUCUUAACUUUCAUUAAUCUUCUCUUCGUGGCUUAAGCCUAAGAAAAAUCACACACCCCCAUCACUGUUCACGGUCUUACCUUUCCUUCUAUUACUCAGGUACACCUCUUUUCUCUUUCAUUAGGUUUAGUACUAAACCCUUAAAUUAUAAUGGUUGGUUUCGUUUAAUAAUAAUAAUAAUAAUAAUAAUAAUAAUAAUAAUAAUAAUAAUAAUAAUAAUAAUGUAAGAAGAUUCUAAAUUUUGAAGUGCAAAAUGAUUGUUCUGUGCUGGUGAUAGUUUGAUUACAUGAAAAGUUGUAGUUUUUAGAUUGAAACUUAGGCUGUUUACUUCCGUGGAAUUGUGUGGUGCAAUGGGGUUUCUGUGUGUUGGGUUGAAGUUUAUUGCGGAAUCUGAGUGCCAAUUGAUGAGUUUUUUAGUGAUUUCAUUUGGCCAAUGAACUUGUGUGAUGAAUGAACAUGAAUCUGUGGAGUGUGCUUAGUUUUUUUGAUGGGUUAGUUAAUGGAUAUGACCUGAGGUGGGUGAGUUCUCUCUGUUUAGAUAAGUUCUGUGUAAUAUUGUAUGAGUCUUUUUGGUGGUUGGGAUAAUAUUAUAACUGAAUUUGUUUAAUGUGGUGGAAUGAAAGGAAUGAUUGAUUGAUGAGACAAUUUGAGGCGCUGUGACAGUGAUUCUGUUAAGAUCUUUUUUAAAUUGUCAUAAUAAGAUAUGGCAAAUAUGUUGUGCAUCAGUUUUUUUUUUUUAGCAAAGUUUGUGUAUGCUUUUUAGUUAUUCUCUAAAUGAAAAUAUUGAUAAUACAGAAUGGUCAUAUGUUUUCUCUUUAAAGUACCAGAUGGAUCUGCUUUAUGUAUUUUGGGACUAUUGUGAGAUUAGACAACCAGGAAGUGGGAUGAAUGCAUCCCUUUCUGAAACAUUGUGUAGUGUCAUUUUCUGUUUCCAUCAGUUCUGAGGUUAAAUUAUUUUAGAUACUGAGAUAAGUUGAUUUAGUCGUUGAAUGUUGAUCUAUGUCAGUCAUUCUGAUUUCACUGGACCAUCUAUUGGUACAGGUGUGAAAGGUUAAAGCAGAGUGUGAAUAUCAGGUCUUGUUCUUUUUUCGAAGGUGAUUCACUAUGUCGAUUAUUCUUGUGCAUAGGCUAAUACCAAGCUUCUAUAUCAGCACUUAACAGAUUAUGGCAUACUGAUUUUUGGCAUUUUAAUCUAUGCCAUCUGAUCUGACAUGAUUUCUCUACUUGUCUAAUCUCAAUUGUAAUUAAAAGAAAUCCGCUCUUGUCAAGGUACUCUCUCCCACUCUUGUGGGAAGACACAUGCAACUAUGAGCAACGCAUAUGUUAGCUCAACAAUAUAUGCUGUUAGGUGUAAAGAACCAUUUUCAUUAUCUUUCAAUGGCUACUCAAACUUCUGUUACGAAAGAUUUGACAGAACCCCAUCAUACUGUUUGUCAUGCUGUGGUUGUUGUGAUUACUGUUCAGUCUCCACUUACAGAGUACCCAUAAAGCCUUGCCUUAUAAAUGGCUUGAGGCAAUCUGCUCUUCUUCAAUUGUCAGCUUCUAGAAGGUUGAUAUUGGGUGGAGGAGACCAUUACCUUUCUCGGCUACCAGCUUAUGGUGUCCUCAGAGGUUGUCAGGAGCUUAAUUCUUCUGUCAAUGAGAGAACUGAUUAUAGUAGUAGUAGUAGAUGGAGAAUAAAGGGAAGAUAUAUUCGUGCUGCCUCCCAGAAAGGGAGAGAAUUUUCCCAUUCAUUUGGUUCUGAUGGUGCUGAAGCAGUUCUCAGCUUGUUGAGUGAGGAGGCAGAUAAGGAUGCUAUUUGUAGCAAAUGUAAGAAUGCGUCUUCAUCAAAAAGAGUGGAAGUUGAUAAAAGAAAAAAUGUGAGCAGAGAGAAACAUUUGAGUUCGAGUGAGAAAGUAGAAACAGAGAAAAAAGGAAUUUUGAAACGGCGUGAAUCAUCCUCCGUAGACUUGAGAAGAGAAUAUGGAAAAGCCAACCAAGAAAGGGAAGCCUUUGUAAAAAGUGAAAGCCAUAGGAAACGAAGAGAUGCAUCUAGUUGUUCAUCUUAUUACUCUCUCUCAUCAGGAGAUUUUGGGAGUGAGCUGGAAGUUCAAGAUGAGAUUGGUUUGGAAGAGUUGUCACUGGAAUAUGAGAAGGAUGAAGCAAAUUGUCUGGAGGAAGUGAAGGAAGAAUUCAACAGGCAAGGGGAUGACUCAAAGAAGCUGCAGGCUGUUUCAAAUAAGGGAAGAAUUGCAUUUGGUGUGGAUAUUGAUUGGAACCUAAGGAACAAAUCUGAAAAGAAGCUGAUUGAGGGAACUCUGCAAAACACUGAAUCCAUAAGAGAACAACAGGAUAUGCAUUCAAGAGAAUUUAGAACACAUGAUUCUGGUCAUAAAAAAUCAUCUAUUUCACAAAAGCGAGUCAAUAGUGAGGAAGAUAAAUCUUCUUUUAUUGACAAUUUGGAUAAGAAAGCAAACAAGGCAUAUAUUCAAACAGUAAACAGAAGAAAGCAUCAAUCUAUAGAUGUACAAGAGUCUGGUUGUGAUGAAGUUGAGACAACUUUGUUAUCACAAAAGAAAUUCAGUGGCAGGGAAGGGAAGCUUGAGAUAUCAGAAACAAUGUUGAAGGAAACAACUGAUGAAUAUAAAAAGUUUGUUGGUUCAACUUCUACCACAGGAAAGGAAACUUUGACAUCGAAGAAGGCAUUCAGUGGCAGGGAAGGGAACCUGGCAAUAUCAGAAACACUUUCACAAGAAACAAAUGAUAAACAUAAAAAAAUUGUUGGUUCUACUUCUACCUCUGGAAGGGAUGUGAUAGAUAGAAGUUCCCAGAAAUAUUCUGGAAAUUUAAAAAUUGAAGACACUGAAAGGACCUCAAAUACUAGGAUGAAGGACAUGGGAGUGAAAAAAGUUUCAGUUUUGAGUUCUGUUCAGGGAGUGGAUAAGCAGAAACACCAAAAAGGAGAGAAGAUCAUUACACAGAUGAAGGAUAAAGAGGGGAGAAAAAAAUCUGAGCAAUUUUCUGAAGUAUCAGAAGCUCACAAGUCUAAUGUUGAAGAUACAUCUAGCAUAAAGUCUAGAACUAGAUUAAAGAACAUGGAAGAAAAAUCAAACAUAAGCUCAGAUGCAAGGGUUACGUUGCUCCAAACAGAUAAAAGGACAACUCAGAGUUUCCAACACAGGAAAGGAUCUGAACUUGUCAGCACUUUAUCAGAAGGCUAUGUCAGUGAUGAAAAGCAAGUUUCAAGUUCUCAAAAAGCUUAUGAGAAGGUGAGAUUAAUUCCAAAAAGUAAAUCAACAUCACUUGUUAGAACUAGAGAAAGUUCUAGCCAAACUGAUGAAAGGAUUGCAAAAUUUGAAUUGGCCAGAGACGACCAAAGAUCUUGCAACCUUUCAAUUUCUGAUGAAACUAACUCAAGAGAGGAAUCCAGCUCCCAGGGAUCAUUGAGUUUGAUUUCUGGGGCUGGAAAACAUAGUAUAUUAGCAUCAGGUGAAAAAAGAAGGUCUGCAACAAUGUUGAUCCCUUCCUCUUCUGAAAUGGGUGGAGACUCAGUACAAUUUGAACUCACUGCAGGAAUUGCAAGCCCUGAGAUCUUCCUUGGAACUUCAGAAAGUGGUUCUUCUGCUUUGUAUGACAAUUCAGGAAGAAGUUCUGCUUUGCAUCCAGAUGCUAUCGAUUUAGCUAAUCGUUUAGAGAAGUCAUCUAGACAGUUUGUUGAUGAGUUUGCUGAGAGGGUCAUGCAUGAAGUAACGACUUCAGAAGCACAAGAGAUGGAAGUUACAGGAACAAAGUUGACACUUGAAGUUGGUGGUGAUCAGAUCUACAGCUCAAGGCAACAAGGCACUCAAAAUGACGCUCAGUCAAAGAAGCAUGAUUCUAGUCGUUCUUCUGGGUUUCCUGGGACAAAAGGACCUUCUGAUGAGAUGUGGGAUGUCAUGGAACCAUCUGUUGAGCAAGGUCAAGUAGCCAAAGAAACGGAUAUCAGCAAGGAAACAGGGAAAGCAGUUGUUACUAGAACUGGGAGGUCCUUAUGGGGUAUGAUUGGUGAUAUUGUUCAAUUACGUUGGGGUUCACGUGCUGGUUCCUCCACUUCAGCUGGAAGAUCAGCUGAGAGAAACUCACCAAACAAGUCUGACAGUGACACAUGGUUUUCUGGGCAGGAGCAUGAGGAAACCACUAAAACUAAUGUCUUAAAAAAAACAAGUGUACCACCACAAGUCAUGACUUCUGAUAAGUUAAAACCAGGUAAACAUUAUACCCAAAGUGAGGGAGAGGUGUCUGACAAUACAAAACUGAAAGACAGAGGAAAACAUCUCGAAGUUGGAUUGUCAUCCCCAAAUACAUUGGAAAGUGGAUCAAUGUCAGUAGGCGCUUCUCAUACUUCUGGAGAGGAAAAUGUUAGUGGGACUGAGGAUAAAAAAGAUUUGAAAGCCACUACUUCUGGCACACAAAACAUGGAAUUACCAAUUUCAGUACCUGCCAGAGGGCCUUCUAUUGAUGGAGAAAUUGUAAGCAUCGGUGGAUCUGACAUGUCUGGAGCUGAGUCAGUGGUUCCAAUCAAGGAAUCUAUUGCUCCUGUGCGGUCUGAAUUGUCCGGCUCAGAGAGAAAGGAUGGAGAGUUGAAGCAAAGAAAGUUUCAACGGAACAGGCAAGUCUUGAGAGAUAGGUUUGAUGACUGGGAAGAAGCCUAUCAAUGUGAACUUGAGCAGCGACGCAUAGAUGAAAUGUUCAUGAAGGAAGCACUUUUGGAAGCCAAGAAGGCUGCUGAUACAUGGGAGGUACCUGUUGGUGCUGUUCUUGUGCAGCAUGGGAAAAUUAUUGCUCGAGGCUGCAACUUGUAAGUGAGGAUAUUAUUUCAUUCUUUGUAAGUGUAAUGGAAUUAUUUCGUUCUUUGUAAUUGCCCUAGUUUUUAAUUUUUUUAUUUAUAUCUAAAUAUCUGUUCCAGAGUUGAAGAGUUACGGGACUCCACUGCCCAUGCAGAGAUGAUUUGUAUACGAGAAGCUUCAAAGCUUCUUCGAUCAUGGAGACUAUCAGUAAGUUUUCUAGUUGGAAAUUUAAAUCUAUUUUGAUAUCACACCGCCCAAAGUUUAAUAUUCAUUGUUGUGAUUCUCUUGUAUAAUUUUUAAGCUCAUAUGGCUAAUUUAACAUGUGACAAUAUUCCACCACUUUUAAGUUAAAGAGUAAAGACAUCUAUAGCUGCAGGUCUAAUAUUUAUUUUUACAGAACAAAGCAAGUUGCCAUUGCAAAGAUAUUUUUAAAUUUAAAUAAAAUUUAUAAAUAAAAAUAAAUUAAAUAGUACAUGUUUUCAUUAUUAAUAAUAAGUAUUUUAUUAUAUAAAAUAAGAAUAAAUUAAAGAGAUGGGGACUUUUAAAAUUGAGGACAUGAGAGAUCUAUCAAAAAAAUUAAAUAUCAUCAUUCAACUGGGGAAGUUGAGGCUUUUGUUAUUGUCGUCAUAAGUGCCUAUAAUAGAGUUUGAUAAACUCUGAUUUAUCAUUGAUCAGAAAAAUGAAAAGGCAAAUUACAAAGAAAAGAGUAAUCUCUAUAUAUAGAGAGUCUUAAAGUCUAACCGUAAACUAUCCCUAUAACUGACAGCUCACAGAUAAUGGAAAACAGAAUACACAAAGUAAAAACACUUUUAGUGGAAUAAGUAUACUCUAAUAGCCCAUGAUUAAAUAUCAUUAGACAUGUAGUGCCCUUCAUCCUUCAUCAUCACUGAGUAAACUAUUGACCAUUCAUAAUUUUACUUACGAAUAGUUGGUUGCUAUGCAGCUUUCUUAAUUCUUAUGUGGACUCAUUAAUUCAAGAACAAGGUUUAUUUGCAUGCAUGCAAUGGUGGAUAUCAUUAUCGAAAUGUCUAAUGUAAAAAUAUAUAUUAGCAAGAUAGAUUCAUGUUUAAAGAGGGUGAAAUUAUUGAAAGAGAAAAAAACAUUAGGAUCAGAUUACUUUAUAAUCUGUCACUCCCUAGUACUUCUAUCUAAUGACUGAUAAUGUUAAAAACCCUUGCUGUGGCAAUUUUUUUAUUUAAAAAGAAGAAAAUUCAUUAAGAAAAGUGAGAUAUACAAAGGUAGAAGGAUAAGAUAUCCCCCAUAAGAGAACUGGAAAAGGAAAAAAAAAUACAAAGAACAAGCAAAAUGGAGCUCAAGAAAAUCAGUGCACAAUGGCAGACCAAUCUUUAUUGGAAUCUGAAAUGGCAACCCCCUUAAAAGAGCUAGUGAGCCACACUCUAAAGAGAAGCCCAAAUUUUGAUUACUUUAUUAUCUAUUGCUAUUUAAUUUAACCAGUAUUAAUAAGUAAUGUUACUAAAAAUAAUGCUCCUGUAAAAAUAAAGAGAAUUUGACUAUAAUGGCAUGUUUAAUAACCUAAAGCAAUAUUUAUUUAGUACAGGGGAAUGAGAAUUGGAGUGAUAGUGAAAGAUUUUUGUAUUUGGACUUACCUGUGGUCCUGGUAGAUGAAUCAUUUCCUUCCUUUCAAUUAUUUCUUACCAAACAUUGCUUGAAGGAUCACUUAGUAAUAUGGUCUUUCUUGACAAAUGGUUGAUAUCUAUUAGUUGUGGUAUUUGAUACAACUUGAUAAUUAGGUUGAUGGUUCAUUUGUUUAAGGACAAAAUUUUCCCACUUUCAGGACACUACACUUUAUGUAACGCUUGAGCCAUGUCCAAUGUGUGCUGGUGCUAUCCUUCAGGCAAGAGUAGACACUGUUGUGUGGGGUGCUCCCAAUAAGCUUCUUGGAGCUGAUGGUAGCUGGAUUAGGUAUGCAGCCAAUGUGCUUCUUUUAUUUGUUUAUCAUUAUUUUGAUAAGGGAGUCUUUAUGGUUGUUUGUCAAUGUUUCAUGAAACUUCACCUAUAUUUGGCCGAAUUGGUCUCUACCUACCUUUAUUUUCCUGCUUGUUAUCUUCAGUUGAAUUGGCCGUGCCAUAAAAACACUAUGGAAAAAGAGGGAUUGCACACAUGUGCAUUAAAAUAUAUAUUAUUAUAAUUAGAAAAGGACCACAAUGCCCUCAACCAUAAUGCAUGUUAAACAUUUGGUAUUUGACUAUAUGGUCGCAGUUAAAAUUUUAUGUCUAAUCCCAUAUUUUUUAGAUUAAGAAAUCAUUAAUAAGCCUAUGAAACAUGGUUUUUACUUAGAGAAAAUAGUAUAUACAUUAACAUGUAAAGAUUUUUUUUUACAAUGUCAUCUAAUCACAAAUUAUUAUGUAUGAUCAAUUUGUUGAUUUUUAUAAUAACUAUUUUAAAAGUUAUAUCAAGGAUACUUUGUAAUUGGUUAAUAACAGUUUAAAAACUUUUACACUGACCGUGCUUGUUUAUUAAACUCUUUUUCUUAUGUUAUAUAGAUGUCAUUUCUGUUUACAACUCCAUUGUCAACAUCUUUUUACUUUCCUCCUAAUUUACCUUUUCAGAACCUUAAUGAGUUGCAUUUCUUCAAAUGUACUGGGAUUACAACAUAAUCAGGGCUGGGGUUUCCAAUUGUUUUCCCAACUGAAAUUGAGUCCCUUUUUGGAUAUUUUCUUGAAAGCUCAGCACAUGAAAUGUUCUUGAAAGCUCAGUACAUCGAAUAUUACAGCUCUUUCUUGAACCUUAUUUCUGCAGAAUUUUCCCUGAUGGAGGAGAAAAUGUAUCAGAACAAAGAGAUAUGCCACCUGCCCCAGUUCAUCCAUUCCAUCCAAACAUGAAAAUAAGAAGAGGGGUCUUAGCCACUGAGUGUGCAGAUGCAAUGCAGCAAUUCUUUCAGCUUAGAAGGAAAAAGAAGAAAGAGGAACCACCGAAUGGCCCUUCUAGCCUUCCUGUUACUCACCACCCAUCCAAGUUACUCAACAAGAUACAUGACGUCUUCCACAUCAUGUUCUGUUUGUAAAAGAGAAUAUUCACAUAUUUUCCCAUGUUUUAAAUGAGCUUCUAAAUAAAAUAAUCAAACAUGAAUGAAUGAUCAUUGUGAAAAGUACAAUGCUCAAUUUCUUUAAGAGUAUUCAAUCAGUUAAGCUGUCAAAGACAAUAAUUUCAGACGUUGCCUACUUUAAUUUCAAGUAAUGACUUCAAACGCUUAGGAUGAUGACUAGAUUGUAAUGAUAUAGUAAAGCCUGUCUGUCAUUGUUCCCUUUCAUUUUUUUUUGGAAAGGGUGAUUGGGUGAGAAUUUGAGAUCACUUGCAAGAAACAGAAACCUAGUAGAGUAUGUAGAAAGAUUGAAUUGCUGAUGAAACAUUACAAUCACCAUGGUAAGUUGAACCAUCAAGUAUUUACAGAAAGUGAUAGAGACCUGGUACUUACAUAUAGGUAUGUGUAGAAAAUAGUAGGUGAAAUUAUGUUCUCAUUAACAUGAAACUUUUUUUAAUUCAUUACAUCCCUCCUUGCCUAAUCCACCCAACCUUUUGUCCUGGCAAAUCUGAAAAAUAAUUAAGUCUACUUAAAACACAAGUUAGGCCAUAACCAUAAUAUUAACUUUGAAUGAGUGAGCCUGUGAUAAAAUUCUAAACGACUAGGACUUAUGAUUUCAAGGGUCCCCCUUGAUGCGAAGGAAGCUACUACUAUUUGUCUGUUUCCUUUGUUAACGUUACUUGUUAGAUGAUUAAUAAUAAAAUGAUGUCACAAUCACAUGAAGGCUACAUUUUUCCUUCCACAGAUAGUCCAAACCAUACGUUUCAACCUUGUGCUGCACAUUAGUUCAAAUAUAAGAAGCAAACUCUUCAUUCAAAACCAGAUCACAACAUACAAUGGCUGCAGUGUUCUGGGCUUUGGCUUUAGUAAGCCUCUGCUGCCAGCUACCUUCCAAUGCCCAAGCACCUGCAUCUGUGCCGGCAAACUCGCCACCUACAACCCUAGCUGCAACAUCCCCGUCUUCUGGCACGCCACCGGCAGUAACACAGGCAGCAUCCCCUCCCACCACAAGUAAUCCACCAACUAUUUCCCAGCCACCUGCAAUUGUAGCUCCCAAACCUGCUCCAGUGACACCACCUGCUCCAAAAGUUGCACCAGCUUCAAGCCCAAAAGCACCAACACCCCAAACUCCACCACCACAACCACCAAAAGUAUCACCUGUCGCAGCUCCCACAUUGCCACCCCCACUACCUCCACCACCUGUUGCUACGCCACCGCCGUUGCCACCACCAAAGAUAGCUCCAACACCGGCCAAAACAUCCCCUGCACCUGCACCAGCAAAGGCAACACCAGCACCUGCUCCUGCACCUACAAAGCCGGCUCCAACACCAGCUCCCAUUCCUCCACCGCCAACACUGGCACCAACUCCAAUAGUAGAGGUACCAGCACCUGCGCCAUCGUCACAUAAGCAUAGAAGGCACAGGCACAGGCACAAGAGACAUCAAGCACCAGCUCCAGCACCAACAGUUAUUCACAAAAGUCCUCCGGCACCACCUGAUUCCACAGCAGAAUCAGACACAACACCAGCACCAUCACCAAGUCUGAAUUUGGUAAUAUCUUUGUCUAGUGAAAUAUCAAAUUACAUUAAAAUUACACACAAAUAUGUCUCAUCUGUUUCACAUUGUUUUGAUCACAUUUUUUACUUCCUCAUUUCACAGAAUGCUGCACCAUCAAACCACCAGCAAAGGAGUAUACAGGCAACGGCUGCACUUGCCAUCACUGUUUUGCUAGCCGUCACCAGCUACAGCUGCUAGCAGCCUCAUGGAGACCAUGGAUUCACUUUAAUGAGUUAUUUGGCUUGCAAAAUAUAUAAUCAUUUAAUGUGUAUAGAUCUGAAUCAUGAGAAUCUAUACCUAUGAUUCUUUUUUUUUUUUUUUAUUGUUGUUAUCUUUGCUCAGAAAUAUUAAUGGAUAUGAAUUUUUGAAUUAUGACAAUAAUCUGGAGAUGUUAAACAAAAUGUCUCUAGUUUUAUAAGUUAUUUCAUCAAACUUGAUCAGUUUCUGAGUCUAUGUUUAUUUUCUCCCGAAAGUCAUAAAACUCCCUGAUAAGUCCAAGAUUGUCAACUAAUUUGUUAUGCCUUAGAUAUCCUGCACACUAGUAAGAUGAAAUUCCCAUCAAUUACUUACAAAGAAUAUGUAUUUGCAUAACACUAACUUUACAAAAUAUGUCUAUAAAGAAUGAAGGAAAGCAUGAGAAAAUAAUAUGACCAUCAUCAAUAAGGUUUCCAAAGACAAACGCAUACUCAGCAGCACAAGAUUAAAAUGUAACCACAAAACUGGUCGCUAGACAAUGAGCACAUAUAAAACUUUAACACACUUGCACACAUUACCCAUUCCAUAAGUUAAUGAACUUUCAGAACAAGUUGACACACAGCAAUGCAAUCCAGUUACUCCCUUUGUAUGAUAAACACCAGACUCAACCAGGAGAGGGUAGAUGGCUGGAAAUUUAUUUUUCAAUUCCUGAAGGAAAAAAAUUGGUGUUCCAUUUUGAUAUUUUAUAGAAUAAAGAUAUGGUGAACAUUAAUAUGUUACAUACACAUAAACAGGGAUCGGAUAUGGCAAGUUGGCAACUAGUGAGAGGUUGAUGAACCAACAAAGAUAGUCUUAAUUUAAAAUACCAAACUUGGCGGAAACGUGAUUCCGUUAUAUACAUUUUUUUUGUACUUCUAAAAAGGUGUUUUCAGAAUUAUGUUAGCAUAAUUUCAGAAAGGUGUUUCCAGAAUGCAUGUUAUUUUUGUAGAAAAGCUACUAUGAAAAAACUUUUCUGGAAAUUGAUUUUGGAAACUUGUUUAUGGAAAACAUGAAUUUUGUUUUCCAGAAAAGUCUUUCCAGAAUUAUGCUAACAUAAUUUUGAAAAGGUGUUUUUGGAAUACAAAAAUCAUGUUUGUGUGGUGCUGAUGUCUGUGUGUUGUUUGCAAGGUGUUGGGUGGUAUUGGGUGGUUGCAACUGUGGUGGUGGUAGUGUUUGGGUGUGUAGUUAGCUGGAGAUGGGUUAUGCAUGGGAGAGGCAAGGGUAUUAUCGUUCAUUUGAGACUUUUUGGGGGGUGUAGGAAGUAAAAGCUUCCCAUGUGUCUUAUGUUUUUAAAAUUUGACUUAGUUUUUGGAUAAGGGAGUUGUUGUUCUCAUCCUCUAAAAUGCUAUUCUCACCCUUUUCAUUUUGGAAAAUUGUAAGAAGAUAAUGUUAUCUGUAACAUCCCAUUUUUUUCAUAGAUUAAUUCAAAAAAAGUUGUUAUUUGUAAAUAAAUAAGUUUUAUGAUAAGGUUUUUGUAAUUAAAUAAAUAAAGAGAAAUAAGUGUAUUAAAAUAAUAGUUUGAUAAAAAAAAUAAAGAGGAUAUUUUAUUUAUUCAUCUGAUAGAGAAUAAAAUAGAGUUUGUUUUUAUAAAAUAAUAAAAAUAAAUAAAAUAAUAGGUUGUGAGUACCCUAGGUAUAAAUAACGAUAUGUUAGGUCAGGAAAACGACGAUCUCGGACUCAUUCACCGUUGUAUCAUAGUGAAAUUUGAGCACCACGUUCGCAACCCAAUUCUGAGCAUUCUCACCGUUGGGAAUUGCAAAAACAUGUCGAAGCUAAGAGAAAUACCCUUUGCAUCGUAGCUUUCUCUUUUCUCGUAGAAACCCAAAACGGUCUCAGUAAAACUAUGAUCUCAGUUUCAUUAACCGUUGGAUUUUCAUGAAAUUUUAAUUUGUAGUUUGCAAUUCAAUUCCACACACUUUCACCAUUGGGAUUUGCGAGAUAAUAUUCACUGAGAGAGAAAAAGGAAUCGCACGAAGACAGUACAUAUGAAGGCUUCAAUCCCUUCUCUGUCUCUCUGACAUUUGGAAACUCUAUCAGAGCAGUCGGAGGAAAAACUGGAGGAAUCUUAGGGAACCGCUAGAGAUGCAGCUAUCGCUGUCGGAAGACACGUGAUUCUGCUUAGAGGUAAGGGAUGAGUUAUUCACAAUUGAAGGUUAGUGAAAACAUGUGUAGAGAUCCUUAAAGGAUUAAAUUGGGAUUUUAUUUUUGGAUGUUUAUUAAAUUGCAAUUUUUCCUUUAUAAUUAUAAAUAAAAUAUUGAUGUUCUGAUGAGAAUUGCUUGAUAAAUUAUGUUCUUGAUAUUUGUAUAUUUUGACCUAUGAUUUUGAUAUAAUUGUGUAAUAUUAUUUGAAGGGUUUUAGUCCCCAAGUUGUGAUAGUCUUUUGUAUAAAUUGUUAUAUUGAGGAUAUGAAAUGAUGAUUCAAAUUGUGAUUAUGUGGUGGAUUGAACAUGUGAUGAAUGAUGGAAUACAUGUAUAUUGAGAUGUGUAUUGUGUUGUGAGCUAUGAAUUGUGAAAUCACACAAUUGUAAGACCCUUUAAGGGCGAUGAGUUUUAUGCGACGAGUAUUGUGAUGUGAUCCAUUGUGGAAACCCGACAAGUUUAAUCACAAGCGCGACGAGUUAAAAUGGUUUUGAAAAUAAUUGAGUAGUUGUGUGUAUUGCAUAAUUCACAGGUAAAGUGAAUAUGAUUCGUGAGUCUGAUAACAUGCUAUUUUGAGAUUAUACCAUUCUAAUUGAGAUCGAGUGUAUGUGAUAAACUGAGUAUGCGCAUGAUUGAGAUGUUGUGUGCAUUGAGUUGUAAACUGUGGAUUGUACAAUCGCACGAUUAUUAGACCCUUUAAGGGCGACGAGUUAAUGUUAAGACCCUUAAAGGGGGACGAGUUAAAAAUAUUUAAGAACAAUUGAGGAGUCGUGUGUUUUGUAUAGUUCAUAGAUAGAGUCUGUGUGCUAAAAUAUUUUCUGGGUUGGACCUGAAUCAGGAAGGAGAGGCCCUGACGGACUCUUCACAGUGUAGGCUUUGUGGGUCACCCGGUUUGAGUGCUCCUUUAAGCCUGUGCCGAUCCCACAUGGUUGGAGCAUUCUCGCAAAACACUGUGACCCUGACUGGUCUCCCUAUGAUAUUACCUUGUGAGAGUGACUUGACUUGCUAGUGUGUGGUUUGUCUUGUCAUAUACUCCUAGGCGCCCGACGAGAUUUUUCACUGACAUGGUACCACAUUGCAUAUAAGAUUAAGUCUUAGUGUAUCUGCUGCAUAACACUUGUGUAUUGUUCUAUAUUGAUUGAUUUGAUGAUAAUGUGUUUUGACUAUUAAGUAUGCGAAUGUCGUGAAAACGAAUGAGACGUGUGGUGAAAUAACGUGAGUUAUGCUCAAGUAAAUUGUAUUUUGUUAUAUAAUAUUUAUACCUAUAUGUUGUCUUAUUUUUCUCUAUUAGUUAGGAAUGUGAUAACUUACUUCCUGUGUGUUGUUUGUGUUUGGAUCCUGUGAUGAUCUUGAACUUUAUGUUCGGGGGAGCAGAUGAUUAAGUGAAUUUCUUUAAGGAACCUUGUGUUGAAGGACGUUGGGACACAAUGCUCUAAUAAGAUGUGACAUUAGGAUAUAAGUUACUAUAUUAAUUGUAUGAGGUCUUUGACAACCUUGUUUUGAGCCGAAAUGAUUUAUUAAUUAUUUGAACAAGUUUUAUUAUGAAUUAGAGAAGUGAAUGUGAGCCUUUUAUCCUUUUGAGAGACUUGUAUUUAAAUGUAUUUUAAAAACUUUUAAUUAAAUCUGAUCUCUUAUUUCUUUUAUUUAUUUAUAUAAAUGUCGGGGUAGAGGGUGUCACAUUAUCUCUCUUCAGUUUCCCUUCACCUUUCUCUUUCCCUUCCCAUUCUUGCUACUGCACCCCCCCCCCCCCCCCUCCAACUCAUCACCUUUUUUCGAUGUUUUGGUGCCAACAAAAACAUGAUUUGGUUGUUACUCCACCAUGGAAUCAUGAUUUUGUUUUGAGUAGAACAUAGUCAUAUUUUGUUGUACAAUUGUAUAUGCAUAAUGAAAAUUUUUUUUUGUGUUUCUCAAUUGAAACACUCAUUGAAAAUCGUAUUUUCAUUAUGGAUUUACAAAUGAUACAUAAGGAAAAUAUGAUUUUGUUGUGUUUUUCAAAAUAAUUGUAUUUUUUAGGAAUUAAAAUCAUAUUUAAGCUUUUAAAUUUUGGAGAACCAAGAACAAAAUAUGACUCAACUUUAAAAUACUAAAAAUAUAUUUAAAUCUUUUUUUAAAAUCAGCUCUAUUUCCACUCCUUCCUUCUGUUUCUCGGUUGUUCCCUGCUACCAAACAUAGAGUGCAAGUCUCCAAUGAUUUUGACUUCCAAAAAUCCCGACCUCAAACUUCUAAAAGCUAUAAGCUCUUUCCUCUUCUCAUUAAGGCCUUAAGUGGGUUUUAAUUCGCACAUUUUGCACCUAACUUUACUUAUCAUAAACUAUUUAAUCAUACACUCAACGCUGAAAUACAAGCGCUCGACACUUAAACAUAGUAAAUUCAAUGCUUUGUCAGUACCUGACGCUCUCAAAGGCACCUAACGCUGCAUGAAAGACUAGCAUGUAGUGUACAUUGGCUUCAUUUUCUAGAAUUUUCCUAGUAAAUAAAUAUAAAAAAAAAUACUACUAAAAAGUUGAGGUUACUUUCUUAACGUAUAAAAUACUAAAAACAUGCAAUAAAGCUUUAAAACAUAGAGACAUAUGUAUAAAAUACGCUAUAAAUUUACAUUAAUUCUAGCUAGGUUUAUCAGUGUAAACAUUUUAUGUGUUUUCCCUCAAACCUUCCCAGCCACGUAAUAUGAUUAAUAUCCAAGGUUUUGUGGUGCUAUUGAGGUGUUGUCUUACCAAGGAGACAUAUUCCCUUUUUUUUUUUAUCGUUAUACUUACAUUUCGAAAAUACAUAGAUAAAAUGUAAAAUAUAGAUACAUUGAUUCCCAUUUCAAUUCAGAUUCAUUUAAUUCAAAAUCCACUUAAUAUAAGUACAAAAUGGUGUAACCCUUAACCGCAUGAUAACUUUGGUGGGUUCAUAAUAACUUCGGAUGACUUACUAAAGAUCAUGACAGCAUUAAAAUUGUUACAUAAUAACAAUGAUAUGCUGCAAUGAAAAUUAUUAUAGCUUUUCCAUUUUUUUUAAAUAUUUCAAACCGUUGUACGAGGUAAAUAUAUGUUCCCAUCUUUACAAGUUUUGGUUUAGUCUACCUUAUUCUUUUCAAGAUCAGGAGCCAACUUUGAACCAAUAAGGGCUGGCCCCAGAGAUAUCCUUCUAAGAAAGGGCAAGAGUUAACCUUUCGGAUUGAAAACGAUUGUGGCAGUGCCUCUUAGAGUGGUUGUCUCAAUGCAACACCUCUAGUAUGAAGUAUAAACCACUGAGAAAUUGAUGUUUAAUUGGUUGAAAUAGCUAAUUACUUUGUCUUCAUCCACUUGUAGUCAUUAAGAAACAAUUCAACACUUCAAUCACAGGUAUUCUUUUAUGAAUUUAGAUAAAAUCUUCAGAGUAAAGAUAAUUCUAUACCAUCAUUCAAAUUAGUAAAUGAAAUUAUGUUCUCAUUAACAUGAAACCCUUUAUUCCUUUUUACCCUCCUUGCCCCAUCCUACAUCCACCCAACCUUUUAUCUCAUUAAACAUGAAAAUUAAGUCUACUUAAAAUACAAGUUAGGCCAUAACCAUAAUAUGAACGUUGAAUGUGUGAAGCUUUGAUAAACAUCUAAAUGACUAGGACUUCUGAUUUCCCUCAUUGAUGCAAGGGAAACUACAUUGUACCUCUACUUUUUCCAUUGUUAACGUUCCUUGUUAGAUGAUUAAUAUUUAAAUUGUCACAAUCACAUGAAGGCUACAUCUUUCCUUCCACACAUAGUCCACACCAUACGUUUCAACCUUGAGCUUCAUCAAAGCCCAUAAUAUAAGAAGCAAACUCUCCAUUCUCAACCAUAUCACAACAUUCAACAUACAAUGGCUGCAAUUUUCUGGGCUUUGGCUAUAAUAAGCCUCUGCUGCAAGCUAGAUUGCAAUGCUCAAGCACCAGCAACUGUGCCGGUAAAGUUGCCACCUACAACUUUGCCACCUACAACCCCAACUGCAACAUCUCCAUCUUCCAGCACGCCACUGGCGGUAACACAACCACCCACAGUGGUGGCAUCCCCUCCCACCACGAGUACACCACCAACCACAUCCCAGCCACCUGCAAAUGUAGCUCCCAAACCUGCUCCUGUGAAACCAUCAGCUCCCAAAGUUGCACCUGCUUCAAGCCCAAAAGCCCCACCACCUCAAAUUCCAAUACCACAACCACCAAAACCUUCACCGGUCUCACCACCCCCGCUACCACCACCACCUGUUGCGUCACCACCACCAUUACCACCACCAAAGAUAGCACCAACACCAGCUAAAACACCUCCAUCCCCUGCACCAGCAAAGGCAACACCAGCACCUGCACCCGCACCCACAAAGCCGGCACCAACACCAUCACCUGUUCCUCCACCGCCAGCCGCAACUCCAGCACCAGCACCAGUGAUAGAGGUACCAGCGCCAGCGCCAGCGCCAGUGAUAGAGGUACCGGCUCCAGCGCCUGCACACCAUAGGCAUAGAAGGCACAGGCACAGACACAGACACAGAA